UAGGGAAUCUUCGGCAAUGGACGAAAGUCUGACCGAGCAACGCCGCGUGAGUGAAGAAGGUUUUCGGAUCGUAAAACUCUGUUGUUAGAGAAGAACAAGGACGUUAGUAACUGAACGUCCCCUGACGGUAUCUAACCAGAAAGCCACGGCUAACUACGUGCCAGCAGCCGCGGUAAUACGUAGGUGGCAAGCGUUGUCCGGAUUUAUUGGGCGUAAAGCGAGCGCAGGCGGUUUCUUAAGUCUGAUGUGAAAGCCCCCGGCUCAACCGGGGAGGGUCAUUGGACACUGGGAGACUUGAGUGCAGAAGAGGAGAGUGGAAUUCCAUGUGUAGCGGUGAACUGCGUAGAUAUAUGGAGGAACACCAGUGGCGAAGGCGGCUCUCUGGUCUGUAACUGACGCUGAGGCUCGAAAGCGUGGGGAGCAAACAGG
RNAcentral lists this ribosomal RNA (429 nucleotides) under Gemmatimonadota bacterium. RNAcentral describes it as "Gemmatimonadetes bacterium partial 16S ribosomal RNA". It matches the Rfam family "Bacterial small subunit ribosomal RNA", at positions 355 to 776 of the family's 1533-position model. Lineage: Bacteria; Pseudomonadati; Gemmatimonadota. The record is from RNAcentral.